RNAcentral lists this long non-coding RNA (1593 nucleotides) under Malus domestica (apple). Its description in RNAcentral is "long non-coding RNA (MDOM_LNC019465)". The record is from RNAcentral. Lineage: Eukaryota; Viridiplantae; Streptophyta; Magnoliopsida; Rosales; Rosaceae.
GAUGACUUGAAAUAAAUGAAAGCCCAAAGCCCAAACAACACAAAGAGGGCCGGCCACUUUAGGUGAAAGGGAGAGAUAUUUAGUCAAGUUGUUGACUAGGUUUCUUUUGUCUAUAUAAGGAACUUUAUAGCACAAAGUUCAUAAGGGUUUUUUGUGUGUUUAAAACAACAAAGAGGCAAAAGAAAUAUCUCUCUAAAACACUACAAAGGCCGGCCACCUUAGGGGGUGUUUUUUACUAACACAUUUUUCACCCUUUUGGUUAUUCCUCCAUCCAUCUCACUACACUAGUGGGUGUGGAUCUUUAGAGGUUUUCUACUUUGGAAACUUGGAGAGAACCUAGGAGCACUCUUACUAACAAAGUGGAGGAGGCAAGGAGGGAGGCUAGGCUCAAGGACUUCAAGGAGCAAAGGGCUUGGAGGUGGUCCAUCCUUGGUCUAAAGUCUAGAUCAAGAGGUAUAAGAUCUAUUCCUUGUUCUUUGUUCUUAAGUUAAAGGAUUUGAUGCAUUAUAUAUAAACCUAUAAACCUAGAAGGGGAUUUGCAUGACUAUAGCUUUGAUAUUAUGUGUUAAAUGCUUCCGCUAUUUUCGUAUAUAAAAUUUGAUUUGUAUAUGCAUGAUAGUCAUUUUCGAAAUCCCAUAUGAAAACUCAUAAUUUUCCCUUCAAGUGGUAUCAGAGCCAAAGGUUUAUGUAUAAUGUGUCCUUUUGGAUUUUAUGCAUAUGGGUAUUAAUGUUAUGUAUGACAUAUUAUUGUUUCAUUCAAAGUAUGUUUAUCUUUUGUUUUUCAAUAGUUGAAAAAUGUUAGUCAAAAGUUGAGAAAGAUAUGUAUUCAAAAGAUGUUUUGUAUGCAUGAAUGAAAAAUGAGUUUAGAACUAGUUUGACAUAUUAUUUCUUCAUUUAAAAGUAUGUUUAUCUUUUGUUUUUCAAUGGUUGAAAAAUUAUAAAUCAAGAGUUGAAAAAGGUAUGCAUGUAAAAAGAUGUUUUGUAUGCAUGAAUGAAGAAUAAGUCAUGAACAAAAUUUGGGGUGUUGUUCUUUGUGGUUGGCACGGUUUUGGGGGUUUUUUGAGCAUGUGUUUGUGUUUUAUUGUAAGACACUCACAUAUCAUUUUAAAGCUAGAAAGUAGAAAUCUUGUCACUUUUGUUUUUGGGUUUGAAAAUCACCAAGAAUACACAAAUCUUGAAAAAGUGUUCAUGGUUUUGUUCUUGGUGUUCAUAGUUUGGUUUUGGGUGAAAAUGGUUUUAUUUGGUUUUCAUGCAUGGUUUUAUGGUUUUGGAUGAUGUUCUUACCAUCCAUAACUAUAUUAAAACUUAUAAAACCCUAGACUUGUCUAGGAGAUUUCCAUCACCUUUCUCAUUAAAGCCUUUUAAUGCCAAAACCAAGUGACAUGCAAAAUUUGGAUUUUUCUACUUUGCAUUGAAUUAAAGCAUGUGGGUGAGACUUCCCACCCCCCCCCCAUUAAUUGGCCGGCUACCCUAGUGGAUUUAUCCACUUGGGGGGUUUUUUGUAAUUUGAAAAAGAUAUUUUAUACUUUUGAGUAUUUACGGUUUGACCCCUAACUUUUUCAUAUUUGCAUUUAGGCCCCUACUAACUAGAAA